UUCAAAUUGAAUCGUGCCUCCACUAAUCUCUGUAUCUAUCUGUAUCUAUAUCUGUAUCUAUAUCUGUAUCUAUAUCUGUAUCUAUCUGUAUCUAUAUCUGUAUCCACUGUAUCUGUAUAUAUAUCUGUAUCUAUCUGUAUCUAUAUCUGUAUCUAUAUCUGUAUCCACUGUAUCUAUAUCUGUAUAUAUAUCUGUAUCUGUAUCCACUGUAUCUAUAUCUGUAUCCACUGUACCUAUAUCCAUCUGUAUCUAUAUCUGUAUCUGUAUCUAUAUCUGUAUCUAUAUCUAUCUGUAUCCACUGUAUCUAUAUCUGUAUCUAUAUAUAUCUGUAGCCACUGUAUCUAUAUCUAUAUAUAUAUAUCUAUAUCUGUAUCUAUCUGUAUCCAUCUGUAUCUAUAUCUGUAUCCACUGUAUCUAUAUCUAUCUGUAUCCACUGUAUCUAUAUCUAUAUCUGUAUCUAUAUCUAUAUCUAUCUGUAUCCAUCUGUAUCUAUAUCUAUAUCUGUAUCCACUGUAUCUAUAUCUGUAUCUAUAUCUGUAUCUAUCUGUAUCCACUGUAUCUAUAUCUGUAUCUAUCUGUAUCUAUAUCUGUAUCUAUAUCUAUCUGUAUCUAUAUCUGUAUCUAUAUCUAUAUCUGUAUCUAUAUCUGUAUCUAUAUCUAUAUCUGUAUUUAUCUGUAUCUAUAUCUAUCUAUCUAUCUGUAUCUAUAUCUGUAUCUAUCUGUAUCUAUAUCUAUAUCUGUAUCUAUCUGUAUCUAUAUCUGUAUCUAUCUGUAUCUAUAUCUGUAUCCAUCUGUAUCUAUAUCUGUAUCUAUCUGUAUCUAUAUCUGUAUCCAUCUGUAUCCAUCUGUAUCUAUAUCUGUAUCUAUAUCUGUAUCUAUAUCUGUAUCUGUAUCCAUCUGUAUCUAUAUCUGUAUCUAUAUCUGUAUCCACUGUAUCUAUAUCUGUAUCUAUAUCUGUAUCUAUAUCUGUAUCUAUCUGUAUCUAUAUCUGUAUCUAUCUGUAUCCACUGUAUCUAUAUCUGUAUCUAUCUGUAUCCACUGUAUCUAUAUCUGUAUCUAUCUGUAUCCACUGUAUCUAUAUCUGUCUCUGUAUCUAUCUGUAUCCACUGUAUCUAUAUCUGUAUCUAUAUCUGUAUCCACUGUAUCUAUAUCUGUCUCUGUAUCUAUCUGUAUCCACUGUAUCUAUAUCUGUCUCUGUAUCUAUAUCUGUAUCCACUGUAUCUAUAUCUGUCUCUGUAUCUAUCUGUAUCCACUGUAUCUAUCUGUAUCCACUGUAUUUAUAUCUGUAUCUAUCUGUAUCCACUGUAUUUAUAUCUGUCUCUGUAUCUAUCUGUAUCUAUAUCUGUAUCUAUAUCUGUAUCCACUGUAUCCAUCUGUAUCUGUAUCUAUAUCUGUAUCUGUAUCUAUAUCUGUAUCCACUGUAUCCAUCUGUAUCUGUAUCUAUAUCUGUAUCUAUCUGUAUCUAUAUCUAUCUGUAUCUAUAUCUAUCUGUAUCUGUAUCUAUCUGUAUCUGUAUCUAUAUCUGUAUCUAUAUCUAUCUGUAUCUAUAUCUGUAUCUAUCUGUAUCCAUCUGUAUCUAUCUGUAUCUAUAUCUAUAUCUGUAUCUAUCUGUAUCCAUCUGUAUCUAUAUCUGUAUCUAUAUCUGUAUCUAUCUGUAUCUAUAUCUAUCUGUAUCUAUAUCUGUAUCUAUCUGUAUCUAUAUCUGUAUCUAUCUGUAUCUAUAUCUGUAUCUAUAUCUGUAUCUAUCUGUAUCCAUCUAUAUCUAUAUCUGUAUCUAUAUCUGUAUCUAUCUGUAUCUAUAUCUAUCUGUAUCUAUAUCUGUAUCUAUCUGUAUCUAUAUCUGUAUCUAUAUCUGUAUCUAUCUGUAUCUAUAUCUGUAUCUAUAUCUGUAUCUAUAUCUGUAUCUAUCUGUAUCUAUCUGUAUUCAUCUGUAUCUAUAUCUGUAUCUAUAUCUAUCUAUAUCUGUAUCUAUCUGUAUCUAUAUCUGUAUCUAUAUCUGUAUCUAUCUGUAUCCAUCUGUAUCUACAUCUGUAUCUAUAUCUGUAUCUAUCUGUAUCCAUCUGUAUCUAUAUCUGUAUCUAUCUGUAUCCAUCUGUAUCUACAUCUGUAUCUAUAUCUGUAUAUAUCUGUAUCCAUCUGUAUCUAUCUGUAUCUAUAUCUGUAUCUAUCUGUAUCCAUCUGUAUCUAUAUCUGUAUCCAUCUGUAUCUAUAUCUGUAUCCAUCUGUAUCUAUAUCUGUAUCUAUCUAUAUCUGUAUCUAUCUGUAUCCAUCUGUAUCUAUAUCUGUAUCCAUCUGUAUCUAUAUCUGUAUCCAUCUGUAUCUAUAUCUGUAUCUAUCUAUAUCUGUAUCUAUCUGUAUCCAUCUGUAUAUAUAUCUGUAUCCAUCUGUAUCUAUAUCUGUAUCUAUCUGUAUCUAUAUCUGUAUCUAUCUGUAUCCAUCUGUAUCUAUAUCUGUAUCCAUCUGUAUCUAUAUCUAUCUGUAUCUAUAUCUGUAUCUAUCUGUAUCUAUAUCUGUAUCCACAUCUGUAUCUACAUCUGUAUCUAUAUCUGUAUCUAUUUCUGUAUCCACUGUAUCUAUAUCUAUAUCUAUCUGUAUCCACUGUAUCUAUAUCUGUAUCCACUGUAUCUAUAUCUGUAUCUCUGUAUCCAUCUGUAUCUAUAUCUGUAUCUAUCUGUAUCUACAUCUGUAUCUAUAUCUGUGUCCAUCUGUAUCUAUCCGUAUCUAUAUCUGUAUCUAUCUGUAUCUAUAUCUAUCUGUAUCUAUAUCUGUAUCUAUCUGUAUCUAUAUCUGUAUCUAUAUCUAUCUGUAUCCAUCUGUAUCUAUAUCUGUAUCUAUCUGUAUCUAUAUCUGUAUCUAUAUCUGUAUCUGUAUCUAUCUGUAUCCAUCUGUAUCUAUAUCUGUAUCCAUCUGUAUCUCUAUCUGUAUCUAUCUGUAUCUAUAUCUGUCUCUAUAUCUGUAUCUGUCUCUAUAUCUGUCUCUAUAUCUGUAUCUAUAUAUGUCUCUAUAUCUAUAUCUAUAUCUAUAUCUGUCUCUAUUUCUGUAUCUAUAUCUGUAUCUAUAUCUGUAUCUAUCUGUAUCUAUAUCUGUAUCUGUCUCUAUAUAUGUCUCUAUAUCUAUAUCUGUCUCUAUAUCUAUAUCUGUCUCUAUAUCUGUCUCUAUAUCUACAGUAUAUCUCAAAAGUGAG
Molecule: long non-coding RNA, 3184 nt
Filed under: Cottoperca gobio
Lineage: Eukaryota; Metazoa; Chordata; Actinopteri; Perciformes; Bovichtidae
Description: lncRNA (ENSCGOG00000004851.1)
Source: RNAcentral